GGAAGUAAAAGUCGUAACAAGAUUUCCGUAGGUGAACCUGCGGAAGGAUCAUUAUUGUAUAACCGAGGUGCGAGGGCUGUCGCUGACCCGAAAGGUCGUGCACGCCCGAGUGCCCUCACACACAUCCAUCUCACCCCUAUGUGCACCACCACGUGGGUCCCCCUUUGGCUUGUUCGGAGGGGGGCUUACGUUUUCACACAAACUUUGUAUGCAGUGUAGAAUGUAUUUUUUGUUUUUGCGAUCACGCAAUCAAUACAACUUUCAACAACGGAUCUCUUGGCUCUC
RNAcentral lists this unclassified non-coding RNA (285 nucleotides) under plant metagenome. RNAcentral's name for it is "partial contains small subunit ribosomal RNA, internal transcribed spacer 1, and 5.8S ribosomal RNA". The stretch from base 1 to 54 matches the Rfam family "Eukaryotic small subunit ribosomal RNA", at positions 1778 to 1831 of the family's 1831-position model. The record is from RNAcentral.